AGUCGAGCGGUAACAGGAAUUAGCUUGCUAAUUUGCUGACGAGCGGCGGACGGGUGAGUAACGCGUAGGAAUCUGCCUGGUAGUGGGGGACAACAUGUGGAAACGCAUGCUAAUACCGCAUACGCCCUACGGGGGAAAGGAGGGGAUCUUCGGACCUUUCGCUAUCAGAUGAGCCUGCGUGAGAUUAGCUAGUUGGUGGGGUAAAGGCUCACCAAGGCGACGAUCUCUAGCUGGUCUGAGAGGAUGAUCAGCCACACUGGGACUGAGACACGGCCCAGACUCCUACGGGAGGCAGCAGUGGGGAAUAUUGGACAAUGGGGGCAACCCUGAUCCAGCCAUGCCGCGUGUGUGAAGAAGGCCUUAGGGUUGUAAAGCACUUUCAGGAGUGAGGAAGGGUGUACGGUUAAUACCCGUAUAUUUUGACGUUAACUCCAGAAGAAGCACCGGCUAACUCUGUGCCAGCAGCCGCGGUAAUACAGAGGGUGCGAGCGUUAAUCGGAAUUACUGGGCGUAAAGCGCGCGUA
This 524-nucleotide ribosomal RNA is filed under the name uncultured Marinomonas sp. RNAcentral's name for it is "bacterial SSU rRNA". It matches the Rfam family "Bacterial small subunit ribosomal RNA", at positions 60 to 573 of the family's 1533-position model. Lineage: Bacteria; Pseudomonadati; Pseudomonadota; Gammaproteobacteria; Oceanospirillales; Oceanospirillaceae. The record is from RNAcentral.